UACUUUGGGCCAAAUUUAAAUAAAAAAAGGAGUUAAUUAAUGGAAUCGAUUUUUACCUAAGAAGUUUUUGGUAGUGUUGCUUGUGUCACGUGGCGAGUUGUGAUAGGAGAUAGGAGACAGCGAAGACGAUGGCGAUGUUAGAGACCAUGAGCAAAUGCUUCUCCUCCUCAUCAUCAUCCUUUUCGUCUGCAAGCCAUGGCGCUUCCUUCUCUGUUCCUGAUCCUCCCCUUUCUCUACCUUCAAGGUGGGGGAUUUGCAGAGACCGCUUGUAUCUCAUGAUGAGAAUCUGAUCCAAGGCCAAAGCAGUGAGGUCUCAAGGGAAUUUGAUUUAGAAGAAGCUUGUUUCCAAAACGAAGGCCUGUUGCGUUCUUCUCUCACUGAGGGACGAGGGGUUUACAAACCAAGGCUUCCUUCUUCUUCUUCUUCUUCUCCCCAUCUCGCCCAAGGUAAAGUCUUUCAGCAUCCCUCUUCCCUAUCCAGUCGGCAUUCUUGAGCUUAUCCAUCGGGUCCUUAAAAUUUAUGAAGGUGAAAGCUUUGAUCUACAAAUAAUCUCUGAACCUUCUGACAAUGCUUUGGUGGGGAAGACGCUUAAGCAUCCAGCUGAUAAAGUUAGCUCCCAAGAGGUGCAAACCUAUGGCUCGCAGCAACCUGAUUUGGAAAAGGAUAUACUUUCCCAGCUUUCUCCAAGAGUUGUUGUUAAAGAUCAAAGUAAUUUCCUUUUAUUUUGUUUUCCUAAGUUUAUAAAUAAUACAACUUCAAUCUAUAUCUUUAAUUAGUCGUGCAAGAUAUAUAACAUAUCUUGUGUUAGAUAUACACCUAAGCAUUGUAUAUCUAAAUGGUCUCUGUAAGUUUUAUCUGAAUGGUCUCUGUAAGUUUUAUCUGAAUGGUUGAACUUGAAGGUGUUGCUGAUAAAUUCUUAAGUAUGUGGAUGAACUAAGAUUCCAUUGAUAAUGUUGUAUUUUACUUAAGUAUCUUAGAAAACUUCUUAGACUAAAAAUAGUAAUUAAAAAUUCUAAGAUGUUUGCUAAGAGUUGCCAUUGAUAAUGUUGCUCUUAGAUAUAUAGAAUUAUUCAUUUUACCAUCUUCAAACACAUAUAUGCAUGCAUCUUAAAACACAUGCAUAUAUAGACUCCUUUAUAUGUGAUCGCCUAAAUAUGUAAAAUAUAUACUCUUUUUAAGUCUAAAUCUUUAUCUUACUUAUGAUAAUAUUUUUUGCAUGACACAGAGUUGCCUUUCAAGUAUGGUUUCUUAACGAUAUCAAUUUCAUUAGGUUAAUAAAAUCUUAACACUUCGUUGAUAGAUUUAGUUGUCAAUUCCUCACAGCAGUUUUUGUUAAUUAAUUUAUGAAAAACUACGUUAAUAUGUACUGUACUUGCUAUGUUUUGGACCUAUAUAUAAUUUUAAUUGAACAUAGUUUCAACUCCUACUUUAUUAUAAGUAGUAAAAGUUUUGUACAUCCAAGAAAUUGUAUUUCACAAAGAAAAUGUUCUGUGUCCCAAGAACAAAGCAUAUAGGUAGAUGCAAAAAGUUCCCGGUUUUUUAAGGGAGCACCAUCUUUGACUCCCAAAAAGUUUUAGGAACUCAAAAAGCCUUUUUGUAAUUUGUAUUCGUUCAACUAUAAUCUAUGCAAAUAUUUUUUUUUUUUAAACUGGAAGUGCAAACUAUGAUUCAUUGUCAUAUGCCAAGAAAAGUGACUUAGUUUUCAACUAAAUGUGAUUUAGUGUUUUUUCUAAAAGUGAUUUAGGUUCAAAUGUAAUUAAAUGUACACACAAGAGAAGUCAACAUGUGGUACUAACGAUCAGUAUAUUGACACGAAAACAAAGAUCUAUUGAUGACCAUGACACCAAUAAUACAGCGAUCAAAUGAUAUAUAGCCUAGUACUACCCUUUUUUUUUUUUUAAUCUGAAGCCUAUUACUAUACUACACGUAGACACGUAGUAAAACAUGUAGUAAUGUUAGCCGGAAUUAAACUAAAAGUCUUGUUGGAAGCAGAACAUGGUUCAAUCACAGGUGAAUUAUUUAUCUUUUGUGUUAUCAAUUUGAGCAUAAAAGAGUAAAACAGGUCUGAAAUAUUACGAAUUUGGAUUUCCAAAAUAACGAUCAUGUGCGUGGACAUAAUAAAGCUAUUUGAUAGAUCUUGAAUGGACUAAAUGCUUUUUUUUUUUUUUGAACGACGAAGACUAAAUGCUUUCUUCUAUCAACUUAUCAUACAAGUUAGAUCUUCCUAACUUCUUCUUCUUUAGGUUUGUGAUAUCGAGGAAGUGAGAAGACGGGAAUGCCUUUAAGGAGAUACUGGAAAGAAAUGAUUAAGGCAUAAUUACAGAGUUGGCCCAAACAUGGCAUGUUGCAUGUUGUUUUGUACUGUGUUAGAGAGAGGAUCUUUGGCAUUUCCCGAUGAAGACGAUAGGACAGUCCGUGACGCCUGUCUCUCUGUCUGUGGGACCCUCUUUCUGAAGCUAUGAUUUUCAUGCACAUUUCUCUUCUUCUUCUAUUAUCAAUGUAGUACUCCUUCCGUUUUAUAAUAGAUGAUAUUAUUCAUUGGUGCACAAAUAUUAAAAAAUUUACUUUUCUCUAAAAAGUAAUUUUAAAAAUAUAAUUUAAAAAUCAUUCAACCAAUUACAUAAAUGACUAUAACAUCUAAUUGGUUACACAGUUUUCAAUAAAAUUAAAAAUAACAUAAAAUAUCAAAACAUCAUCUAUUUUGAAACAAUAAAAAUCUUCUAAAACAUCAUCUAUUAUGAAACAGAAGAAGUAUAAUAUUUUCUUUCUAAUCUUCAGUCAUAUAGACUUUGACUGAAUGGUAUACCUUGCGCAACUGUCAUUAGUGGAAAAUUUGAUUCCUAGUUAAGCUGUAAAACUGCCAAUCAGGUAAAACUACAUUUUCCUACAUUUUCUCUAGUUACUAUUCAAUCAAAAGUAAAGUUACACUCAUUGUUGGGCUACAUUUUACGAAAGUAAUUCUUGUGUUUCAUUUUUCCUCUUUUUUAUUUUCUUUCAUUUCCACCUUUUUUGUUACUUUCAUUUACUCCAAAAGUUCCCAAUCAGGCUCCUAGAAGUUCAUGAGCAUCAUGGUGAUAACGAUAACUGUCACUUCCAGUUUUUAGAUUUGGAUCCAAAUCUAAAAUAGUGAUGGCUUUCUAGUAUUUGCUUACGCUGGUAUAAACAACUUUUAUAUAUCUUUGAUUGUAUUACACAUUUUAAAAUUGUCUACUGAACAUGGUUUACGUUUACAAUUUUGAUGCUUGAUAAAAUAAUUAUAGAAUUUUCAAAUUCAACGCUUAAUAUGUGUGAGAGGUUGUUAUAUGAAGGUGAUGGUUUGAUAUAUCUCUAUUUCAACUCAUUUAAACAUCGAUGUUGUUUUUUUAAUAAAUAGAUAUAUUAUUUGGAAGUUAUGUUUAUUUUAUAUUUAUAUCAACAGUUUUGAAAGGUGAAUGCAAGUUUAAAAUUCUCUGGCAUCACCACACUUCGCGCGAGUCCACUAACUACUACAAUUACAUCAAAAUCAUUAAGAAUAUUAAGGUCUGUUUUUUACUGGUAAAAAAUCUUUGAAAAAGGUAACGCAGACAUGCAUAUAUGAGAAGAUCGACGGUAGUAUUAAAUAUAAUUUCUGAUAGUUAAUUCUCGAAAUGUAACAUAAACGAACAAGUAUACAAUAAUUAUACAUAUCUUAUAGAUUAGAUUACAUUGAAAAUUCCAUAAAUAAUGCAACUCAACCUCUAUUUUGGCUUUUUGUGUUUGCCUUCUUUUGGUCCAUUGGAUGCUUUAAUAUUCCCUUCUUGGUAUCCAAAGUUUGUAUAUACGACUUUAAAAUCUCAUUAUUUAGUUUUAUCAUAUGUAAUUGAUACGUCUAUACAAUUAUACAAAAUAAUUUUUUUUGAUUCAACCGUAAAUUCUGGAACUAAAACUUUGAUUCCAAUAUAGAUCGGAUUUAUCUCUUUUUGUAUCUUUACAACACAAAGUUAGCAUAAAUAUUGUUAUAUAAACGUCAUAUUAUGACUCCACUUGUGCCUUGUUAAUUAUUACUUUGUGUAACAAUUGUAUUUGAAUAUGGAUGCUGGUGUUAUUAUUAAACUCCCUCCGGUCAAUAUUCAAAUAAGUUAGACGUCACGUCAUUAUAAAAAUAUGAUUUAGACGUAUCAAACAACAUGAUGGAUAUAUAGCAUAUCUGCAAAAGUUGGUUUCUGGUUAAAAACUUGGAAUAAAAGUUAUUUUAGUUUAAGCUUUGAAAGACAGAAAAGUCGCGGGCUGUGUUUCAGCUAGAACACAAGGAACCGACAUGAUUCUACCGACCCUUGAAACACUAUAACAUUCACUUUGGAUUAAGUUGCAUGGCUCUGUAACCUGACACAGUUAACAAACUUGCCUAUCCAUAUACCCGCGAGAUAACACUUUUGUAGUAUUUGGGCUAAAGUGGUUUGCAACCCAAGUCCAUAACGUAUAGCAGAGCGUUUUGUACUUAAAAUAGGACUAUGCAGCGGUGAAUAGUGUCUUACUGUUUGUUCAUUAAACAACUCCGAAAAUUUGAAAACUGUAAAUAAUGUGUAAUGUGUCCUGAUAACUAAAGAAAUACACACAAGAGUGCUUGAAUCCCGAAACGAGAGAUCAAUAAGUCAUUAACUUUUUCUCUUUACGAUUAUGAAGCAAUGUCUCUUUCAAUAUAGAUCAAAGAAAAUGGAAGUAAAGAUGACAUAAUAAAUAAUAAGUGUGAAGAAGGCUCUUCUUCUUGUGAGUUUCAUGAUUAUAUGACAGCUAAUCUCACCAAUGUCAUAAAGUCUUAGACAGUGGCUAAACAAUGCUUUCCCGACC
Brassica rapa (field mustard) is the source of this 4806-nucleotide long non-coding RNA. RefSeq lists it as uncharacterized. The record is from RefSeq and is a predicted model, not a curated record. Lineage: Eukaryota; Viridiplantae; Streptophyta; Magnoliopsida; Brassicales; Brassicaceae.